AGUGAACGCUGGCGGUAGGCCUAACACAUGCAAGUCGAACGGCAGCACAGGAGAGCUUGCUCUCUGGGUGGCGAGUGGCGGACGGGUGAGGAAUACAUCGGAAUCUACUUUUUCGUGGGGGAUAACGUAGGGAAACUUACGCUAAUACCGCAUACGACCUACGGGUGAAAGCAGGGGACCUUCGGGCCUUGCGCGAUUGAAUGAGCCGACGUCGGAUUAGCUAGUUGGCGGGGUAAAGGCCCACCAAGGCGACGAUCCGUAGCUGGUCUGAUAGGAUGAUCAGCCCCAGUGGAACUGAGACACGGUCCAGACUCCUACGGGAGGCAGCAGUGGGGAAUAUUGGACAAUGGGCGCAAGCCUGAGCCAGCCAUACCGCGUGGGUGAAGAAGGCCUUCGGGUUGUAAAGCCCUUUUGUUGGGAAAGAAAUCCAGCUGGCUAAUACCCGGUUGGGAUGACGGUACCCAAAGAAUAAGCACCGGCUAACUUCGUGCCAGCCGCCGCCGUAA
This 506-nucleotide ribosomal RNA is filed under the name uncultured bacterium. Its description in RNAcentral is "partial 16S ribosomal RNA". It matches the Rfam family "Bacterial small subunit ribosomal RNA", at positions 29 to 523 of the family's 1533-position model. The record is from RNAcentral.